Molecule: ribosomal RNA, 355 nt
Filed under: Salmonella enterica subsp. enterica serovar Typhimurium
Lineage: Bacteria; Pseudomonadati; Pseudomonadota; Gammaproteobacteria; Enterobacterales; Enterobacteriaceae
Description: bacterial SSU rRNA
Rfam family: Bacterial small subunit ribosomal RNA
Source: RNAcentral
AGUACAGGAUGGACCCGCGUCUGAUUAGCUAGUUGGUAAGGUAACGGCUUACCAAGGCGACGAUCAGUAGCCGACCUGAGAGGGUGAUCGGCCACAUUGGAACUGAGACACGGUCCAAACUCCUACGGGAGGCAGCAGUGGGGAAUAUUGCACAAUGGGCGAAAGCCUGAUGCAGCAACGCCGCGUGAGCGAUGAAGGCCUUCGGGUCGUAAAGCUCUGUCCUCAAGGAAGAUAAUGACGGUACUUGAGGAGGAAGCCCCGGCUAACUACGUGCCAGCAGCCGCGGUAAUACGUAGGGGGCAAGCGUUAUCCGGAUUUACUGGGCGUAAAGGGUGCGUAGGCGGGAAGCCAAGUC